RNAcentral lists this long non-coding RNA (209 nucleotides) under Amborella trichopoda. RNAcentral describes it as "long non-coding RNA (ATRI_LNC002650)". The record is from RNAcentral. Lineage: Eukaryota; Viridiplantae; Streptophyta; Magnoliopsida; Amborellales; Amborellaceae.
CUCUCUCUCUCUCUCUCUCUCUCUCUCUCUCUCUCUCUCUCUCCGUGCUCAACAAAUUUGUAAUCCGUAUCUCACAUGUCACGUGGAUUCACAUUGUAGUACAUGUUUAUAAAUUUAUUUGUCAUGGAUUAUUUGUGUCUUCAUUCAGGGUUUGGAAUCUGAAUAUUUGUGAUAAUUGGAUCUGCACCAAGAGAAAAUUUAGAAUCCCC